UUAGGAAUAUUGGACAAUGGACGCAAGUCUGAUCCAGCCAUGCCGCGUGAGCGAUGAAGGCCUUCGGGUUGUAAAGCUCUUUAGUCCACGAAUAUAAUGACUGUAGUGGAAGAAUAAGCCCCGGCUAACUUCGUGCCAGCAGCCGCGGUAAUACGAAGGGGGCGAGCGUUGUUCGGAAUCACUGGGCGUAAAGCGUGCGUAGGCGGUCAUGUAAGUUAGAAGUGAAAGCCCUAGGCUCAACCUGGGAAUUGCUUUUAAAACUACAUGACUGGAAUUCGGGAGAGGAUAGCGGAAUUGUCAGUGUAGCAGUGAAAUGCGUAGAUAUUGACAGGAACACCAGUGGCGUAAGCGGCUAUCUGGACCGACAUUGACGCUGAGGCACGAAAGCGUGGGGAUCAAACAGG
This 404-nucleotide ribosomal RNA is filed under the name uncultured Alphaproteobacteria bacterium. RNAcentral's name for it is "bacterial SSU rRNA". It matches the Rfam family "Bacterial small subunit ribosomal RNA", at positions 355 to 776 of the family's 1533-position model. The record is from RNAcentral. Lineage: Bacteria; Pseudomonadati; Pseudomonadota; Alphaproteobacteria.